ACAGUCCCACCCGGGGCCGAACGGGUUAAAGCCUGACUCUGCAGGCACCGCGCACCCCUCCCUGUUUUACUUCUCCCUCCCUCUCUCUUCUCGUUCCAUUUUACUGUGCGCCUAGGGGGAGUUCUUUGCCAUCUGCGAAAUUCUCUCACAACAAACUUUUUAAUCGGACAUUAGAUAGCGUUGCAAGGACACCUGCAUCAAAACCAUAAUAUUCUGAAAAUUCGAUUCGGACAUACCGUGAACCGCUCGGGAAAUCAUUUUUCUUAUGUAGAUUUUAGUACCCUUGAAAUAGUUUGUUUUUAAUUCGAAAACUGGGCACUGGAACAUGUCGAGGAGAAGAUUUGGUGCUAAGGGUCCCGAAGUUGGGACGCAAGUGAUGCGCAAUGUGUGAGUUUCUGCAAUGAAUGGGAGCAGACAAAUACAAUCACUGUCAAAUCCAAAGACAACUCAACAUUAGAGUCAACAGCUUCCACUCAGCCAGAAGGCAGAUCUGUGGGGGCUCUCUGACAGUAUGUGGGGAUAUUUCCUGUAACACACUCAUAUUCAGGAAUGCCAAGAAUCCACCGGUGUUUUCCAGUAGGUGUAAAGAGAGACUCUGAAAUCAGUACAUAUCUACUAGCUGAACACAGAACUCAGUACGUAUCUACAACCUGAACACAGAACUGAGAACAUAUCUACAAGCUGAACACAGAACUGAGAACAUAUCUACAAGCUGAACACAGAACUGAGAACAUAUCUACAAGCUGAACACAGAACUCAGAACAUAUCUACAAGCUGAACACAGAACUCAGAACAUAUCUACAA
This is a long non-coding RNA of Esox lucius (northern pike), 804 nucleotides long. NCBI's taxonomy places the organism in Eukaryota, Metazoa, Chordata, Actinopteri, Esociformes, Esocidae. The record is from Ensembl.